ACCAGGCAUGGUGGCACAUGCCUGUAAUCCCAGCAGCUUGGGAGGCUGAGGCAGGAUGAUUGUGAAUUCAAAGCCGGCCUCAGCCAUUUAGCAAGAAGCUAAGCAACUUGGCGAGACCCUGUCUCUA
RNAcentral lists this small RNA (127 nucleotides) under Marmota monax (woodchuck). The record is from RNAcentral. Lineage: Eukaryota; Metazoa; Chordata; Mammalia; Rodentia; Sciuridae.